RNAcentral lists this unclassified non-coding RNA (336 nucleotides) under soil metagenome. Its description in RNAcentral is "partial contains 5.8S ribosomal RNA, internal transcribed spacer 2, and large subunit ribosomal RNA". The stretch from base 1 to 120 matches the Rfam family "5.8S ribosomal RNA", at positions 35 to 154 of the family's 154-position model. The record is from RNAcentral.
GAUGAAGAACGCAGUGAAAUGCGAUACGUAAUGUGAAUUGCAGAAUUCAGUGAAUCAUCGAGUCUUUGAACGCACAUUGCGCCCGCCAGUAUUCUGGCGGGCAUGCCUGUCCGAGCGUCAUUUCAACCCUCAAGCCCCAGCCGGCUUGGUGUUGGGGACCGGCCCCGGCCGCCCCCCAAAUGCAGUGGCGACCUCGCCGCAGCCUCCCCUGCGUAGUAGCACAACCUCGCACCGGAGCGCGGAGACGGUCACGCCGUAAAACGCCCAACUUCUCAGAGUUGACCUCGGAUCAGGUAGGAAUACCCGCUGAACUUAAGCAUAUCAAUAAGCGGAGGA